GGAACACAGCACCAAGCCCUCCCCUGCACCCUACUCCCUACCCACCUAGCCGGAGGAGAACCGAAGUCGCCGCUGCCGCCGCUCGCCCCAGUAAAAUGGACACCGUGGGUGCCCGGCUGAGCCGCUCCUCCACGCGAUAUGGCCCCGUCGGCAGCAGCAACGCCUCCUUCAGCGGGCCCGUCAGGAAGUGGCGCAAGGCGUGGGUCCCUCUCGCCGGCGGCGGCGCGGGGUCCGCCUCCGCCGGUAUGGGCCCCAUUGGGUGCCCCAGGGGUAACAAGGUGGUGCUGCUCAAGUGGGCGCCGGUGAGUGGCGCCGGCGACGGUAACGGCAAGGAGGUCGCCUCGGCGGUCACCAGACGGCGAUACGUUCCGGUUUCGGGUGUGCCACAGAACCCUACCAGAAAAGGCGGCAGCACCGAGCUGAACUUGAACCUCGGUUUGGAGGACCCGGAUGAUGACAGCGACGCUGAUUUGAGCCCAGACGAACAGCGUGACAUGGGCAGCACCCCGCGUUCGGAGAACCGACUGAAGAGGAAAGUGUUUUAACCGUCGACCUCGGAUACUAGAACCUAAGCAGCAGCAGCAGCUCCAUGUUCCACAUGAGUUCUGCACCAUCUUUGCGAUGCGAGGUCCCUGGAGUAGCCUUAUUAUUAUUAGUGUGUAGCUUCUAUCUGCUGUGCUCCCGUGUUUCAGUAGAUGAAUUGAUGUUGUUUCAUGCCAAUUGGGAGGCUUAUCGCCUUGUUAUUGUUGUAUUAAUGUCAUGAACUUGUGAGGA
Molecule: ribosomal RNA, 774 nt
Filed under: Triticum aestivum (bread wheat)
Lineage: Eukaryota; Viridiplantae; Streptophyta; Magnoliopsida; Poales; Poaceae
Description: partial small subunit ribosomal RNA
Source: RNAcentral